CUCCCAUGGUGAGGGCAUUCUGAUAUGUAAUCUUGAAAGAGUUCCCAUGCCUGAGGGAUAGGUUCAUCAUUGUGUUGCUGAAAAGUUGAGAUCUUUGCACACCUAGGGCA
Molecule: small nucleolar RNA, 110 nt
Filed under: Sorghum bicolor (sorghum)
Lineage: Eukaryota; Viridiplantae; Streptophyta; Magnoliopsida; Poales; Poaceae
Description: Plant small nucleolar RNA R71
Rfam family: Plant small nucleolar RNA R71
About the family: R71 is a member of the C/D box family of snoRNAs containing the C (UGAUGA) and D (CUGA) box motifs. Multiple nearly identical copies of this snoRNA have been identified in Arabidopsis, and it is thought to function as a 2'-O-ribose methylation guide for 18S ribosomal RNA.
Source: Rfam by way of RNAcentral